Molecule: ribosomal RNA, 594 nt
Filed under: uncultured bacterium
Lineage: Bacteria
Description: bacterial SSU rRNA
Rfam family: Bacterial small subunit ribosomal RNA
Source: RNAcentral
CGGGGGCCCGCACAAGCAGUGGAGCAUGUGGUUUAAUUAGAAGCAACGCGCAGAACCUUGCCAGGGCUAGAAAAACGGAGAGUCCUGACGAAACUCGGGAGUGCUCGCAAGAGAACUCCGGUCCAGGUGCUGCAUGGCUGUCGUCAGCUCGUGUCGUGAGAUGUUGGGUUAAGUCCCGCAACGAGCGCAACCCUUAUCCUUAGUUGCCAUCAUUUAGUUGGGCACUCAAAGGAGACUGCCGGGGUCAACCCGGAGGAAGGUGGGGAUGACGUCAAGUCCUCAUGGCCCUUAUGUCCUGGGCUACACACGUGCUACAAUGGUUGAUACAAAGCGCUGCGGAGCCGCGAGGUGGAGCGAAUCGCAAAAAGUCAGCCUCAGUACGGAUUGCACUCUGCAACUCGAGUGCAUGAAGUCGGAAUUGCUAGUAAUCGCUGAUCAGCAGGCAGCGGUGAAUACGUUCCCGGGCCUUGUACACACCGCCCGUCACACCAUGGGAGUCGAGUGCUCCAGAAGUGGCCGCGCUAACCCGCAAGGGAGGCAGGUCCCCAAGGAGUGUUUGGUAACUGGGGUGAAGUCGUAACAAGGUAGCCGUAA